GGGGUUGUGGCUCAGUGGUAGAGCACUUGCCUAGCAUGUGUGAGGCCCUGGGUUCAAUCUUCAGCACUGCCU
RNAcentral lists this transfer RNA (72 nucleotides) under Ictidomys tridecemlineatus (thirteen-lined ground squirrel). RNAcentral describes it as "Spermophilus tridecemlineatus (thirteen-lined ground squirrel) tRNA". It matches the Rfam family "tRNA". Rfam says of the family: Transfer RNA (tRNA) molecules are approximately 80 nucleotides in length. Their secondary structure includes four short double-helical elements and three loops (D, anti-codon, and T loops). The record is from Rfam by way of RNAcentral. Lineage: Eukaryota; Metazoa; Chordata; Mammalia; Rodentia; Sciuridae.